ACUCAGGUUUUUUUAAAAACCACUAAAAUAUAAAAAUAAUUUUGCU
Molecule: non-coding RNA, 46 nt
Organism: Equus caballus (horse)
Lineage: Eukaryota; Metazoa; Chordata; Mammalia; Perissodactyla; Equidae
Source: Rfam